Molecule: long non-coding RNA, 1181 nt
Organism: Poecile atricapillus (Black-capped chickadee)
Lineage: Eukaryota; Metazoa; Chordata; Aves; Passeriformes; Paridae
Exons: 3
Source: RefSeq, a predicted model, not a curated record
GAGCCACAUCAGUCCCUUCCCUUAGCCCCACAGGUCAGGCCCACAUGGGUCACAGGUCCAUGUGGCACCACCAGGCUGCCUCACGGGGGCUUCUGUUCAGCUCAUCGGCUUCCUUACUGAGACAGGGACAGGGGUUUGCACAGCAAUGCAGAAGGACCCAGCACAAAGCCACGAAGUGCCACUGCUCCUGGGCUCCCUGAUGCGAAGAACUGGGAGGAAGGACACCCUCCAGAACAGCCCUCGAACUGGGAGGUCCUGCUCCCCCUCCAGCAGGCAGACAUGGCAAGCCCUGGGGCCAGAACUGGCAACUUUGACACAAAAGGAACAGAAACACCUCUGACAGGAGGCAAAGUGCAGGGCUGUCCGGCCUUUGUCGUCCGCAGCACAGGGGUCCGUUCCGUCCUCCAAGAGUUGCUGCACUGACAGAACCAAGGAGAAGAAAGCAGAUUCUACAAUAAUCAAGACUGUUUCAGGCCACUGAAAGUCAGCAUUUGUGUCAGCUUCCAGACAGUGAAUUAUAGACACCUUUGAGAUUCAUCUUGUACAUGUCCUACUUCAAAGUGUGGUACAGAACUGAAAGGAACACCUAAAAAGAUGGAAGUGGCAUUAACAUGGAAUGUUUGAUACUUCAGAAUAAAGACAGGAAGACUGACAGUGCCCCAGUGAGAACCAUUAAUAACUUUAGCUAACCAAAAUAACUUUAGCUACUCUUCCUCUGAACCAAGUAGGAAUGACAUAACCUUUCCACUCAGUGCCACCACAGGAAACAGCAAAGAUAUUUACUUGUUGAUGAAAAAUAAAUUAAUCAUAGCACACUUCCUCAAGUUGCAGAGUAAACAAAACAAAAGGAUUGUAAACACAGGAACCUGUCUAUCAAAUCCAAGGUGGAUUGAAACCAAGACUUUCAUAAAACUGCAUUCUUUCCUCUUCCUGUUGGAAACAAUGUAACUUUUUAAUAAUUUUAGUUAGUGGCUUUAAUUAACUUUGAAAUUAAUUUCUUUAACUAAUCAUAAUCUAUAUAUAUAUAAUUAAUUAUAAAUAGUAUGUGAUUUUUAUAUUAUUCUUAGCCAGUAUUUAGCAAAGCUGUCAUAACAUACUUUUGUAAGAACACACAGCUUGGAAAAACUACUGAAACUUUAACUUUUGAUAAACUAACUCUGAUAUACUUCAAUGAACAAGAC